GACGAACGCUGGCGGCGUGCUUAACACAUGCAAGUCGAACGGAAAGGCCCUGCUUUUGUGGGGUGCUCGAGUGGCGAACGGGUGAGUAACACGUGAGUAACCUGCCCUUGACUUUGGGAUAACAUCAGGAAACAGGGGCUAAUACCGGAUAGGAGAUCCUGAUGCAUGGGGGGGGUUGGAAAGAGUCGGCGGUGGGGGAUGGACUCGCGGCUUAUCAGCUUGUUGGUGGGGUAGUGGCUUACCAAGGCUUUGACGGGUAGCCGGCCUGGGAGGGUGACCGGCCACAUUGGGACUGAGAUACGGCCCAGACUCCUACGGGAGGCAGCAGUGGGGAAUCUUGCACAAUGGGCGGAAGCCUGAUGCAGCAGCGCCGCGUGCGGGAUGACGGCCUUCGGGUUGUAAACCGCUUUCGCCUGUGACGAAGCGUGAGUGACGGUAAUGGGUAAAGAAGCACCGGCUAACUACGUG
RNAcentral lists this ribosomal RNA (468 nucleotides) under uncultured bacterium. Its description in RNAcentral is "partial 16S ribosomal RNA". It matches the Rfam family "Bacterial small subunit ribosomal RNA", at positions 28 to 507 of the family's 1533-position model. The record is from RNAcentral.